RNAcentral lists this ribosomal RNA (475 nucleotides) under uncultured bacterium. RNAcentral's name for it is "partial 16S ribosomal RNA". It matches the Rfam family "Bacterial small subunit ribosomal RNA", at positions 28 to 507 of the family's 1533-position model. The record is from RNAcentral.
GAUGAACGCUGGCGGCGUGCUUAACACAUGCAAGUCGAACGAUGAACCUCACUUGUGGGGGGAUUAGUGGCGAACGGGUGAGUAACACGUGAGUAACCUGCCCUUGACUCUGGGAUAAGCCUGGGAAACCGGGUCUAAUACUGGAUACGACCUUCUGGCGCAUGCCAUGUUGGUGGAAAGCUUUUGUGGUUUUGGAUGGACUCGCGGCCUAUCAGCUUGUUGGUGGGGUAAUGGCCUACCAAGGCGACGACGGGUAGCCGGCCUGAGAGGGUGACCGGCCACACUGGGACUGAGACACGGCCCAGACUCCUACGGGAGGCAGCAGUGGGGAAUAUUGCACAAUGGGCGCAAGCCUGAUGCAGCGACGCCGCGUGAGGGAGGAAGGCCUUCGGGGUGUAAACCUCUGUCAGUAGGGAAGAAGCAGGCUGUUGGGUUGGUGACGGUACCUGCAGAAGAAGCGCCGGCUAACUACGUG